This is a long non-coding RNA of Helianthus annuus (common sunflower), 2254 nucleotides long. RefSeq lists it as uncharacterized. The transcript is spliced from 4 exons. NCBI's taxonomy places the organism in Eukaryota, Viridiplantae, Streptophyta, Magnoliopsida, Asterales, Asteraceae. The record is from RefSeq and is a predicted model, not a curated record.
GCUUAGCCAAACAUGCCCAAACUGAUACGUAACAAUGGUAUUCGAGCAAUCAUCCUCUUGACUUGUGGGUGGGUUUGGCAGCAAUAAUAUCAUUACAAUCGUGAGUAAUCCCUGGAAUUAGGGCUACAAAAUCAACGGUCUUGAUUUGGUUUCUAGAAUUGGGCUUUGUAGAAGAAAUUUACUGGAAUCAACGGUUCGGUUCGAUUCGACAAACAACAAAUCCAAUUCCGAAUCAAUUUUAUUCAAGAACUGCACCAUUUGAAGUAUAAAUCAUUUCUGGGUUUCAAGUUCAGCAACAAAUCAACAUGGAAUUCGCAUUGGAGAAGAUUAUGGCAAUUAGCCAAGAAGGUAUUGUUAAAGAAUAUUGCAAUUGGUUUCAAAUCUUAUUCGAUCAGGUUAAAAAUCUGGAAGAAAUGUCUGAAUUCUACGCUAUAUACAUAUUCAUCUGUGGUUUAGAACCUGGAAUUAGGAAAAUAUUUGCUAAAUGGCAUCAAUAUAGUUGCACUAAGGUGAAAGAUAUUGUUUGAUUUGGUGUUGUGUAUGUUGAUCAUUGGCUCGCUCGCUUGUUUGUUUUUUUGUUUGUGUGUUGAUGUUGUAGUGUUUCAUGUGAUUAAUUCGAUCACUUUGUUAAGAAUAUAGAUGAAUUAGUGCAUGGAUGGAGUUAGAUCUAGAAUCUGAAGUCUGAACCAAAACCUAAUUAGUUCAAAAUUAUUGCUUAAUAAACUAUAGAGAUGGAGUUCCACCAAUAUGUCUGAAGUUUUUUAGGUACACUUUGGUAUGGUCUUGCUUUGAUGUGAACUUAUCUGUCUUUACUGAUGGGUGCGAGAUGUAAAUUGAAUAGCUAGUGGCACUUUCAGUCUUUGCCUGUUAGUCGUUCAACGUCUUACAAUUUAGUUUUCUUGCCUGAUGACGGAUUCGGAGCAGCCAUGGCACUUGUCAAGACGGAUGUUGGUGAUAAUAUAACAGUAAGCACUCUUCCUUUCCCUUCAUUUUGAUGCUUGCAAGGGUCAAAGUCUCAGUGCACUUAACACGACAGCCCCUGCAUGCAAGAAUGAUUUCUGCUUCAAUAGAAAAUGGGGGUUUCUUCACUCCCUAUUGAUCCAGCUACUGCCUAGAAAGCUCGUUAAACUACACCAAGACACGAGGGAAGGUGUUGUUAAGCAGACACGCAGAGCGUUCAUCCGAGUCAAAGGUGGCUAAAAGUCAAAUAGUCAAAGCAGCCAGUGGAGAAGGGAUGAUCCUUGUAGAUGAAGGCGUCGACGUUGCAAUCCCGUUUGUGAUCCCAGCUGCUAUCGUCGGGAGAAAAGUAGGAAAAGGAUUUUAUCGUACAUUAACAGCACAAGGAAGCCAACAUCGCCGAUUCACUCAUCGGAGGCUGUUAUAGGAUUGUACCGCAUUUGAUGUUGGUGGCGAAGACUUCUAGAAACCGCUCCUGAGGCGAUCUCCAUCUUCACCGAUCGCUGUUGGCGGAAUUCUCUUACUGAAGUAGUGAAAGAAACAUAAAUGUCUGAUGGUGGUGAUAGCGGAUCAAGGAUCAGGCACGAUGGUGAUUGGGUAACUUGGUGAAACAACAUCAGAUGAAACAUGCUCAUCUUUGACACUUUUUGUUCAAGCAAAUGCUUAAAGUGGCUGAUCUUUUCAUUCAGGGCAACUGAUAAAUAACUUUCUCAACAACAAUGCGAGUCAUUUGAUUGUGUAUGGGGGUAUGUAUUGCUCAUUCAGCGUGUUAUAUAUUUCUGUUAAAACAAGAUUGUGAAUUCAACUGUUGUUGCAUUGCUUGCGAGAUGGUCUAAAAGAUCGCGAACUUUGUGUGUUAUUUCGCAAUGAUCACUUCAGUACGAUGUUCAAGAAUGGUUCUCGCAAUAAAGGUUUCAAAAUCUUAACUCUUUUGUAAAAGGGAACAAUGGUGUACGUUUGUUUUACGGAGGACAAGACUUUGAUAAUGCCAUGUUGGAUCACUUGGUUAGAGAGUUUAAGAAAACAAAGGGAAUAGACUUGACAAAAGACAAGCUUGCCUCUAGAGGCUUAGGAAGCUAUCAAGAAUGCUAAAAUUGAGCUGUCAUCAACAACCUAGACUGAUAAUAACUUGCCAUGUAUCUGGUGCUAAACAUUUGAAUCUCACUCUCACAAGGUCGAAAUUUGAGGCUGCCAACAGCCAGACUCAAGUGUGCAUUAAAGUUGUAAUUCAUAAAAAUAAGUCAAGCAGCUUUUCAUAUAUUAAUAGUGUUUAGAAAUAAAUACAAUUUUUAAGGAA